CACAGAUCGAUUAAACAAACACUUAUCCAUCUCUAUCUAUAAAUACACGUACACACACAUCUCCCCUCUCACUCACUACCAAUAAUACACACAGUUGCAAACAAACAUGAAGAGCACAGGAAAGAGCAGCUCAAAUCCCAAGGCAACCGGAAAAUCCGGUCACGAAGCCCGAAAAGAUCGCCAGUCCGGCACCGGAGUCACCGGAUCACCGAAGAAAGGCGGUCACGGCGGCAAGUUCACCUGGUCCGGCGAUAACGCAAACCUCGGGAACGAUGAGUUCAUCGUCGCCGUUGAUCGUAAUGACCCUAACUUUGAAGAUCCCGAUGUUGCUGUAGCGGAGAAUUAAUAGAUUAUUAUUCGAUAGAUGUAUGUAUGUAUAUGUUUGUUUUUCUGGUAUUAAGUUGUAUCGAUAUAUGGAUUUAUCUCUGUAUGAUGAAGUAUCGAUCAUAAUAAAAUUGUCGCGAUUUAAUUUUUCUCGUAACAUCGAUCCGGUCCGGAGUCCGAAAAUAUGUUUAUAAUAAUAUAAUGAAAGAUUGUGAUAAUAUGCAUAUCAGAAUACAAUGCAACAACGAAGUGUUGUGUGUGAAAUUAGAAUGAUACAAGAGCAUAUGUAUGUUUUCAACUGCAGGACACUAAACAAGAGGCGAAACUCGAUCAAAUCAAAAUUUAAAACUUGCUGAUUAUGUAACAAAGUGUUAUUAGAGACCGGAAGCACGGUGGAUGCUGCUUCGUUGAGUGGAUUGAGUUUACAUUUACAGGGAUUAAUUGUUUUGUUGUUGAAGGCGGCUCUACGGAUCAGAAUAUCUGGACAUAUAUAAUCCUGAAUUGAAGCAUUGUUGCAAUUUGUUGAUUUUGUAAUUUGGAUCUGUGGAAAAAGGAUUCUGUUGAACUUCGUUUCUUCGUGUAUUUUCUUUCUGUUUCAUCGUUGGAAGGUCUCGGUUAGGUGAGAAGUGCUAGAGACACAAUGCAUUUGUUAGGGGAAUUUCGGAAAAUAAAGUUGUUACAAGUGUGUUGAGUUCUUAAUUUGGAUAAGUACUGGAAAAAAGAGUUUGUCGAAAUUCUUUGUAUUAUUUUUGUUCGUUGCAAAUGCUGAUGGUAAGAUAUAAUGUAGGAAUUUUCUGAGAAAAAAAAUAGAAUAAGGUAUUAAGAUAUUUCGAAAUGGUCGGCCGUUACUUGACUUCAUUAUAGGAAAUUCACUUAAAUUUAAGCAAAUCAAGGCAUUUUGCAUAUGGUGCUUAGGACGGAAGCAACUGUAUAAGUCCUGAUCCAAAGUUGUUCGUCUUAGAUUGAAUCAUUGUUAAGUGCAGCAUAAUAGUAACAGUUUUGGCUUGCUGAACUGAGUGGGUGCAAGGAGCAUUGGUAAUAUAUCAUAGUGCUUGUUUGGCAACUUUUGGUAGUAGUAACUCCCAAAGCUUCGAUAUAGAGGACCUUUAUUGCUAUAUGGUUAGGUGGUGGUUCACCUUGAAAUUGUAUCUGGUAUGGCAAAGAAAUUGCUAUGGGAUUAAGUAUACAAUAUUAGUUAACCGGGCUCACUUAUCACUGAUCAGGAUUCCCCUUGGUAUUAUUCUGUCUAUCAUUUAUUUUAUAUAUUGCUGUAUAUGAAUAACAUUCAUUUGUUAAUUCUAAGACUUCAUAAUAUAUUGUAUUAUGUAUAGGAUACUUCAAGUGUACUUCCUCUCCUUUAUAUUAUCUUUACUAGCUUAUGACCCGUGCCAAGCACGGGUUUAAAUUAUUUUCUUAAAUUUAUUAUAUAUUAUAAUUAUAGGGUCGCGCUCAUGAGAAAACCUAUCCUUAAAAUAGAACCUUAGUGAUAGAAUCACUAAGUUUCUGCUGCAGAAUCCUAAAUUUUAAAUAGAUUUUCAGGAUCUAAAUCUAAAUACAUGUUUUUUGUAUCGUUGUAUGUGUUCAAAAGCAAUUUAAAAAUACAAUACAUAAAUACGACACUUUUUGCAUGUGCAGUCCGUAGAACCCUAAUUAAUACUAGAAAUAACGCUAAGGUUUCUUAGGCUAAGAUUUCUAAGAGGACCAUGACCCUAUAAUUAUAAUUAUAAUCUCUUUUAUUUGAUUAUACACUAUCUUUGUUUAGAUACAAUACUUUCUAUGUAUUGACUUUUGAUCCUUUUUUACUUUUUUUUCUACAAAAAUUAGGGUUUUAUAUCAAACCAGCUACCUAUGGAACGAAAUAUCUCAAGUAGACCACUUAUUCUAACGAGGUCUCAUUCAAAACCUUAAAAUUAAAUUUUAUAUCAUGUCGCUAACUCCAAUUUAAAAAAAAGAUGAAAAAUGUUAAAAUAUUCACUCUGUUUUAACGAGGAUUAUCUGUAGAAACAUAGUGAGAGCGAGGAUACUGAGAAUAAUGGAUCUCAUCACUCUAUUUUUACAUUUUUCGUCUAUUUUUUUCAUAAAUUAAAUUGUUUGAGUUUCAAAAAUUAAAACAAAUAGUUAUGUUGGUGAUAUAAUUUUGUUGAUGGGAUAGUCGUUACAUUACAGAAUCCUGAAAAAUAUGGAAGUCUUUUCAGAGUAGUAUAAUAAUAGUAAUUAUUACAAAUAAACAAAAAUUACAUGAUAAUAACCAAAUUUUGGUACUUUGGUAUUUACUAUUUCUGAUGUUCCACUGAAAGGGGGUUUUGCUAAUUAAUGAAGAGUAUAGAUUACACAAAAUUAACCUUCUAAUUUUUGGAAACCUGAAUAAUUGGAACAAAUGCUGUUUAGUAAGUGGAUUUGCUCGACACAAUUGUACACUUACAUCAUCUUUUGUCGUUUCAUUUAAACUGUAUCAGUUAAAAUGUUGACAAUGUCCACCAAGGUGCACACAACACUCUGAGAGUAGAACUUGAGAUCACAGGAUACACUUUUUCAUCCUACUUGAUCACAGUUCACAAAAGAAAAAUAUAAUUGAACCAUCCACCUAUAAAUUUAGUUUUGCUGUUUGUUUUCCGAAUAUUUUUAUGCAUUUAUGUUAGCACACCAUUGAGGACUAGUGACACAUGUAUUAUAGCUUUGGAGACUCUCCAAAUUUCAUGUUGUACAGCACUCCAUGUAUUAUUGGCCAAAUGUAUACUUGCGCUUGGCCCUCUAUCUGGUGUCACUGAUCCAGGGUAGGAUACUGAUCCAUGAGCAAUAUGCUCUGAUGGUGCAUAAAUCUGAGAUACGGAGCAUGAGCAGUAUGCUCUGAUGGUGCAUAUAUAUGGUUUUAAUUUUAGACUGGAGGUAUUCAAAGUUAGAAUAGCUGUUUGAAAGCUGAAAUUCAGUGAAAUAUUCAUUAGGUUUUUGUGUAGGGAAAGACGCAUACCAAGUGCUUAUACCAUGGUCGUCCAAGCAGUCCAUCUCUGUCUAUAAAUACUCGUUCUGCCAUCAUCAGUCUGUAAUUAACUGUCUCACCUGCCAAGCUUUACUUCUUCACAUUGAUGCCCAUCCUUCGGAUCCUUGUAUUGCCUGAGAGUCUAGCCUCUUUUAUAUCUAGACAUUGAUAAUUGAGCUUUAGUUUCUUACUUCUUAGUGAUGACUGAUGAGCUAUACCAUUCUUCAUAAUUAAUAUAUGUGGCUGCUAUUUUCAAAUCUUCAAUAGACUUGAACAAGGGAGUGAGUUUGUCCUUUUCCAAAACCUCACUCAUAAUGUUGUCAUCAUAUUGAGUGGUAGACUAGGUAACCUGCAAUUGGCAGCCAAUCCUAUAGGUCCCAAAUAGCAUAACUCCUUUACAAUUAAUACCAAGCAGUCGAAGUGGUAAUAUAUCUUUUUUAUAAAUGAUUAUACAACCAUGUUAUCUGCAGUAUGUUCUUUUUCCUGGUGGCAAAAGGCUCUGCAAUUUUAGCACACAUUAUUCAUGUCGAGCUCAAGAUUAGUUCUAUAUUGUAGGCAUGGGUCAGUUGUGUUAUAUCUCUUUCUUAAGAUUGUAGCUUAGCGGCAUAAUCAUGUUGUACAAGCAGCACUAUCAGAGUUCCUAGGCAAUCAUAUCUAAUGGUCUAAAUGAAUGCAAAACAAGAAGUUAUAAAGUUAAUAAUGUGCUAUUUUGUUAUAUUAGCAUAUGUUAUUCCUUCAAAAAAAAAAAGUAUAUGUUAUAAAAUCUCUAUGUUAUUUUGUAAUUAAAUAUAAACAUCACCUGAAUAAGAGAUGAAUCUGAGGUUAAGUACCAUUUUUUUUUUGCUUUUUACUAAGAUUUUACUGUGUUCCACGUUCUAGACCUUUCUUUAAAUCAUUUUCACUUUCUAUUAUGGCAUUUUCCAGCAGACCUUGCAUGGACUAAAUAAACCGAGUUAUAUAUAUCAUAUAUGCAUCUCCUGGCCAAAUUUCUAAUAUAGGUCUCCCUGGUUCUUGCAUAUGUUGUUGUGUGACCUUUGUAAGCUAAAUUACAUUCUAUAAUAAAUUCCUGUUCUAAUUCUUAGUUUCUUUUAUCUGUUUCAUUUUGCAGUAAAACACUGUUAUAGUAUAAUUUAUCUUCUGCUAUAUUAAGGCUGGAAAACGUUAGAUGCUUUGUUUCUUGUUCCAAGUAUUUUCCUGUCACAGUUCCUGAUGUCAAGUCUCCUAGAUAUGAGGUAGAUCUGAUUUUCCACAUUUUUCUAUAUAACAUAAUCCUAAUCUUUGCUAAGCUAUCAAGUGAAAACCAAUGUUUUAUAAACAUAUUUAAGUCACAUAUGUGUAGUUAUAAACUUAUAAUCAUGAAUACCUGAUACAUAUAAGUGCAUAAAAGAUGAUAUUAUAUUACCUUUACCAAAUGAUGUAUCAGCUGCUGGAACACCUACAUUCUGUAAAAAUGCUGCAUAGUAUGAACCUGCACCUCCAACCUUCCUAUCUUUAAAUGUACAAUAAUUUAUUCCAACUGAUAAAUUGAGCCUAAAAUAUCAAUCAUCUUAUAGCACGUCUGGAUCUGGUGAAACAGCUCAUUUUCUAUACUUAUUACGAAUAUGGGGUUCACCCUUCCCAUCUGAAAUGUUGUUAUAUGCUUACCUUAAGAUUGACGGCAGCUCUGGUCCAUGAGUCAAAGAUUGUAUGUGAUGGGUUAUCUGGAUCUUGAACCUUAAAGAGUAAUUUGACAUCUUAGGCAUGAUUUGCGUGUGAUAUUUCUUUAAAAAUCUGACAUCCAUCUCCUUUAGAUGCACCCUGGCAAAUUCAUAUUCUAAAAUCAAACCUGGCACAGGCAUUAGUUUAGUUUAUUCUGUUGUUUGUCAUAGUUUAUAUUACAAUCACUUGACAUGUUAGGGAUCAUUUUGUUAAUGGCAAUGGGAGUGCGGUAGACAGGAAUAGGAAAAUUUGGAAUCCCAUGGGGUACAUCAAUAUCUCCUCCCUUGUCUACCUCAUGGUCAGAUUUUCUUCACGUCUUUUUACUUGGCCAGCCUUGCGGGGUUGGAUCUUGGAUCACCUAAAUUUUUAUACAGGGAACCCGCCUGGACUCCACUUGGUGGUAUCCACUUAUCACCAGGAAACCCUUUUGCAUCACCUCCACCACCAUAGUCUUUUCUAUCUGUGACAACACGGCCCCCAUAGCACCUGGUUCGUAUGCAUCUGUCACAAUGUACCCUCUAUAUAAUCGUCCUAUCCUAGUUAAUAUUACAGUACCUAGACUAUUCGAACCUUGGGCGAGUUUUCUUCUAGUGUAGUGAAAUUCUUGUGAAGUCCUUAUUAAAGUUAUCCUCGGCUCCUUUGUAAUCCUGGUUCUGAUAUAUAUUUUAAUCCUCUAGUACAUGUUCCACCAGUUUUUAUGUCGAUGGUCGAAUGAACAGUGUCUCUAUAGAAGUUAUUCAUCUUACUUAAUACCUUGUCAAGUUUGGAAACAAUAACUGGUUUGGCUUGCUGGUGCAAGUUGGUGUGAGAAUAAGCUUAUGUGAAGAAAUCGCGGUUUAUUGGUUCUUGGUUGGCAUUUACAUAUGUAGAUUGAACUUUAGUGCUCUGUAGUUAGGUGGUGGCUCACCGCUCACCUUAAGAGUUUAAACUUUGCCUAGUUGUAUUGGCUCAAGGUAGUAAUUCAUUUGUUUGAAACUAUAUGGAAGUUAACAAUAACAUAAAAUAGCACAUAGAGCGAUACCUGCUGACUGCUAGGUCUAUGUAUGUAUUAUCAUGUCCAGUUCUAUAGUUUUUGAAAACCUUGAAAGAAUAUGUCCCUGCAAAUGUUUAAUAUUCCAUGUUUUUUUCAUUAAUGUAAGUUGUUUUCCUAUAGUAAUGGUAGUGGCCUGUCAAAUAGUUGUCCACAAUCUUCUAUUGCCAUUAUUUCAAAUUUGGAUUUGUUAUUAUUUUGACACUGUUCACCCAAUUGCACACAACUCUCAGAAUUUGGCUUUGAUAAUAUAGGACAUUAAUUUUUCAGCUUAUGUGCCCGCAAAGAAAGUAUUUAUAAAAGCUUUCACCUUGAAAUAAUGAGUCCCGGAUUGUUUAUUUUGCAUAUAUUUUAUGCACUCAUGUAAGCACACCAUUUAGGACUAAUGAUACAUGUAUAACAGCUCUAGAGACUCUCCAGACUUCAUGUUGGACAGAACUCCAAGAUUCUAUUGUGUUCUCUUGCUUGGCUUUUUCUAUGGCAUCAGUGAUGCCAGGGAAGGAUACUGAUCCAUAAUCAUCAUGCUCUGAAGGCGCAUAAAUCUGAGACAAAAGACAUUUGCUUUUUAGUAUUUAGAUGAAUAUAUGAUUUAAAACUGAGACUAUUUGAAGAUUGAGUUGUGAGUAUUGAGUAUCUGUUAUGAACCCAAAUUCAACAACAAACAUUUGUUAGGUUUUGUUACAGGAAAGAGACACAUACCAAGUGUUUAUACCAUUGUCGUCCAAGCAGUCCGUCUCUGUCCAUAAAUGCUCGUUCUGCCAUCAUCAGUCUGUCAUUUAACUCUCUGACUUGCCUUGGUUUAGUUCCCCACAUUGAUGCCCAUCCUUUGGAUCUUUCAAGUGCCUGAAAAUCAAGCCUUGUUUAUUUUCAUAAACGGCAAAAUAUGCUUGAUAUGGAAGACACAAAAACCUGCUACAUGUCUGCGAAACAUCGGGUCACCAAAAUCUCUCAUCCAAAUGAAGUCAUCAUACAUUGAGUGGUAGACUGGGUAACCUGCACUGCAACUGAUAUAGUAAGUCAUAAAUUUAGCAACAAUAAUGAUUCCUUUACUUGCAACAGUAAGUGGUUAUAGAAAUGCCAACUGAAUCUUAUUUUAUGCAGAAUGGUGUUUUCCUUGAUAAAGUUCUGCAAUAUUAGCACACAAGUUUUGCACAACUAACUCUAGAAGGGGGAUGCUAGAGGCAGGUCAGUUGUCUGUGGCAAGACAUUUUAGAGUUCCGACGUUAUGUUGCUAACCAUUUCAUCAGUUCAUUUUAGCUUCAAACUCCCAUUUAUUUACAACUUUAACAAUGCUUGUGAAUCGUGACUGGGGUUGGGUAAAUUAAUUCCUAUCUUAAAUAUCUACCUAUAAUUUUUAUUUAGGCCUCAUUUUGCGGUAGAAGCCAGGAAGUUCCAAUUUUUUUUUGUUAGAGCUAUAAACUUGAUCCUUUGUUCCUUGUUGCUAAUUCUUACUGUCAUAGAUUCUGAUGUUAAGUCUAUUAGAUAUGAGGUGGAUCUACCUUCACAUUUCUAUUGCAUCCUAAUAUAUGACCAUUAACUAUCAAGUAAAAAUCAUAAAAAUCUUCAAGUCACAUAUAUGAUGUAUGCAGUUAUUAACAUUACAGAUUAGGGUAUGAUCUGUAACCUUAGCAGAUAAAAGUUCAUAGAAUGAAGUGUUGCUACCUUCACCAAAAGACAUAUCAGCUGCUGGAAUACCUACAUGCUGUAAAAACGGUGCAUAGUCUGAACCUGCACCUCCUAACCUUCCGAUCUUUGUAAAAACAUUAGUUUAGUUGAACUUAGAUUCGAGUUCAAGAUAUUAAUUAAGACGAGGCCUUAUUCUGGAUCUAGAGGAACAAACUAUUAUCUUCUGAUCACAUAUUUGGGCUUCUUCCUUUCCUUUAAAAAUGUCAAAUACUUACCUUUGGAUGAUCACUAGUGCCAACCCACGAGUCAAAGAUAGAUUGUGAUGAGUUUUCUGGAUCUCGAACCUCAAAAAGACAUUUUGAAAUUUUAGUUAUAGUUUGUGAGUAAAAAAUUGGAAACACUGACAAUUUUUAUGUUUCUAAAAUCAACUCUAGCACAGGCAUAUAGUUUAUUCAGCCGCCAAGCACUGCUUUGAUUGCAAUUACUUAAAAGUGGUGCUGUAGGCAUAUAGCAUUUAUAAGACUUUUCAGUAUAAUAUCAAUAAUAUUUGUAAUUUUUUGUAUCGGUAAGCUUUAAAAUGUUGCCAUUGCUUGCAACUGCAAUUUUUAUUGGCAAAUUUUUUGUUCUGGUUACAAACUUAUUUAAUACCUGUUUAGUAGCUUGCAUCAAUAAUUGAUCCAGCUGUGGAGUUGCUGCAGCUUGAAAUCCUGCUCCACUAACUGCAACAUCAACAUUCAGUGUGUGUUCCUUGAAAUUGAGAGGUAGAGAAAGAGACCAGGCCAUACUCCUCUGCAUCCCAAUUACAAAAGAUGAUUGUCCGUCUUGGUUUCCACCCCUUUUUCUGCAACUUGCUUAGCCUAUCGGCAACCUAAGUAGCACAUAUAAUCAAGUGAAUGUAAGGGUUAGUACUUUCACUUGGAGACCUUGGUUUGACUUGUACUAUUUUAAAGAGGAUGCAUGAAUGCAAGGCGACCUCAAGCAAAGCUGCUGUGCCACUGUUGGGAUCAGCAGCUCCAAAAGUCCAUGCAUCUCUAUGAUUACCCAGUAUUACAAACCUGCAAAUGGUUUCCACCUAUAGUAGUUAAAUUUCUACAAAACAAGUUUCAGUGUUUGAUUGAAGUCUGUACAACUCAAACAAAUAAAAUUAAUCUACUGUCAGGGAAACCAAUACCGAUCAGGUUCUUCCUCCCCUUCAAUUAUACCUAUAACAUUUUCUAUUGUAUUAAUGCCUUGUUUUCCCUGCAAAAUAAAAGAACAAUUACAGUGCAACAGUUCACUCUCGGCUAUUAUAUCCCCUGUCAAUUUCAUAGCCACAAUACAGUUAGAAUUAUGGUCCGUCAGUCACUUACAGUGUAACUGAGAUUUAAGAUGCCCGGCCCUGGUCCAAUGUUGUAAACUGGACCAUCUUUGCAUCCCUGCCAGUCAUUGUCUGCCAUUUCUCCACCAAUGGACUUUAUAAUUGCCUCACCGUCUGCUGCUGAUACAGGCAGUGAAGGUAUCAAUGGAAUGUCUCCUCCCUUGUCCACCUCAUCAUCAGAGAUUCUCUCACACCCUCCCGUGCUCGGCCACCCUGGUGUGGUUGGAUCUCCACAUCCCUUAUACAGUGUUCCUACCUGGACUCCACUUGGUGGCAUCCACUUAUCAUGAGGAAACCCUUUUCCAUCACCUCCACCCCCAUAGUCCUUUUUAUCCGUGAAUAACACAGCACCUAUAGCACCAGCUUGGUAUGCAUUUGCCACAAUGUCCCCUCUAUAUAUUUGUCCCAUCCUAGCCAAUACAACAGUGCCCGACACAUUCACCCCUCUUGUUUUCAAAAUCAUAAAAUCUUCCACACGUCCAUAAUUAACAUAGACAACUGGUCCGACCACAGUACCUGAUCUAGCAUAUGCAUAGAACGUAGGUAGGACUUCAUCUGCCACGUCUAUGUAGGGGUCACCCUCGUAUGUCUCUUGUUGAAGUUCAAAUUUAGUAGUUGUGCCCGAAGGUGGAUGAGUCAGUGCUAGUGACCUCGAGACAGGAUAAGUCAAUGAUACUCCAUAUGAUCUAAUAUGUGAUCGGAUAUCAUAGGAAGAUAGAGUAGACAGAACAUAGCGUGCGACCUCAGCAUUAGCUUCAGUGCCUGCAACAUGGGGUCUGCGAGUUGGUGAAUAGAGGUGUUGCGAGACUGAAACAUUGUCUGAAAAGUGUUGUAAAAAGCGGGAAUCGGACUUAAUCGGUGAAGUUACGGAACAAGGAUUAAUCGGAGAUUAAUUGAACUAAUCGAGGAUUAAUCGGAUUGAUCAGUGAUUAAUCGGAGAUUUAAUCAGUUCGGCGAGCUACGGAACAAGGAUUAAUCGGUGAUUAAUCGUGAUUAAUCACCGACUUUUAGAACAGAGGUUUUGUGUGUAAAAUAUAAUCACUUGUAUCGCAAUCAUUUCACUAGAUAGGUUAGGUAGUCUCAAAUUCUCAGUGGGCUUUGUUUCCAUUUUUUAUUUUUUUCAAAUAAGGCUGAAAUUCAAACCGAGUUCGGGUUUGAAAAUUAAAUCCAGAUAUUCAAAAGAACAAAAUUUAAGAGGUUGCAACUUGAACUUAUUAUUUUAAAAACU
Long non-coding RNA from Daucus carota subsp. sativus, 10240 nucleotides. RefSeq lists it as uncharacterized. The transcript has 5 exons. NCBI's taxonomy places the organism in Eukaryota, Viridiplantae, Streptophyta, Magnoliopsida, Apiales, Apiaceae. The record is from RefSeq and is a predicted model, not a curated record.